GACGAACGCUGGCGGCGUGCUUAACACAUGCAAGUCGAACGGAAAGGCCCUGCUUUUGUGGGGUGCUCGAGUGGCGAACGGGUGAGUAACACGUGAGUAACCUGCCCUUGACUUUGGGAUAACUUCAGGAAACUGGGGCUAAUACCGGAUAGGAGCUCCUGCUGCAUGGUGGGGGUUGGAAAGUUUCGGCGGUUGGGGAUGGACUCGCGGCUUAUCAGCUUGUUGGUGGGGUAGUGGCUUACCAAGGCUUUGACGGGUAGCCGGCCUGAGAAGGUGACCGGCCACAUUGGGACUGAGAUACGGCCCAGACUCCUACGGGAGGCAGCAGUGGGGAGUAUUGCACAAUGGGCGGGAGCCUGAUGCAGCAACGCCGCGUGCGGGAUGACGGCCUUCGAGUUGUAAACCGCUUUCGCCUGUGACGAAGCGUGAGUGACGGUAAUGGGUGAAGAAGCACCGGCUAACUACGUG
RNAcentral lists this ribosomal RNA (468 nucleotides) under uncultured bacterium. RNAcentral describes it as "partial 16S ribosomal RNA". It matches the Rfam family "Bacterial small subunit ribosomal RNA", at positions 28 to 507 of the family's 1533-position model. The record is from RNAcentral.